This 484-nucleotide ribosomal RNA is filed under the name uncultured bacterium. RNAcentral describes it as "partial 16S ribosomal RNA". It matches the Rfam family "Bacterial small subunit ribosomal RNA", at positions 28 to 523 of the family's 1533-position model. The record is from RNAcentral.
GACGAACGCUGGCGGCGUGCUUAACACAUGCAAGUCGAACGGAAAGGCCCUGCUUUUGUGGGGUGCUCGAGUGGCGAACGGGUGAGUAACACGUGAGUAACCUGCCCUUGACUUUGGGAUAACUUCAGGAAACUGGGGUUAAUACCGGAUAGGAGCUCCUGCUGCAUGGUGGCGGUUGGAAUGUUUCGGCGGUUGGGGGUGGACUCGCGGCUUAUCAGCUUGUUGGUGGGGUAGUGGCUUACCAAGGUUUUGACGGGUAGCCGGCCUGAGAGGGUGACCGGCAACAUUGGGACUGAGAUACGGCCCAGACUCCUACGGGAGGCAGCAGUGGGGAAUAUUGCACAAUGGGCGGAAGCCUUAUGCAGCAACGCCGCGUGCGGGAUGACGGCCUUCGGGUUGUAAACCGCUUUCGCCUGUGACGAAGCGUGAGUGACGGUAAUGGGUAAAGAAGCACCGGCUAACUACGUGCCAGCAGCCGCGGUAA